Molecule: long non-coding RNA, 2498 nt
Filed under: Acromyrmex echinatior (Panamanian leafcutter ant)
Lineage: Eukaryota; Metazoa; Arthropoda; Insecta; Hymenoptera; Formicidae
Description: uncharacterized LOC105148620
Source: RNAcentral
UGAUCGUUCGAUGGAAUUAGGUUAAGUUAUUGGUUUUGUUUCGAACGGUUUGAAGUUUCGAGCGGUGUAGGUGUGUUCUAGUAUUUUCUCGUAGCACGUUUUUGAAAAUAGACUUCGACGACUAAUCGCGUGACGAGGAUGGAGUCAAACGAGAUUGAGGUCUUCAAAUCGGGACCGAGUAUGCGAAGUGACAAGAAUGCUGUCAUCGAUUACGACGAAGAUAGAAUUAUACUGCCAGACUUUCUGGAGUUAAAAUGAUGGCGACACUUCCACACGAAGCGGUAUGGCUGAAUCGACGCGACUGGUAAUACUUGCGGAUGAAUUAGCGAGAUUAGUGGCACUCGCGACGAGACCGAUGCGAUUGACUAUAUUCAUGACACAACUAUUAAUGAGGUUAGCGGCAUUCGGGACCAACGCGAUCGGUAAUAUUCGCGACAGAACUAUCGCCAACGCGGGAGGAUAGAGCAUUACAUUCGUAAAUAUUAUUGGAGGGACUUAGCUGAUUCAUGAAGAUUUCGCGCAGUCUAUUCUGAAGUUGAAAAAUAUCCAUCUCGCCGCCGCAGUAUCGCCGCGAACUCCUCCUAAUUAUUUAGGAUGCUUCCUGUCACAUGUCGUCGACGUGGUCGAAUCCUUCUCCGGAGUAACGAGAAACUUCUCUUUUUGUGUGAAGAUCGCAAUGUGUCACGGUAAUUCACUCGGUUCGAUCGUCAGUCUGCUCGUUCAAUCCGUUCGCACAGACGGGCCCAAAAUAUUGUGCCCGUGUGGCCGAUCGCUCUUGCGUGGACGCGUUUGCGCACUUUCGAACCGCAGAAAUAACGAACACGAGUGUAACAAAAAGAAUAAGAAACGUUUAUUAACAAAGAGAACGGAGAACACAGAACACAGCAAAUAAAUAAUAAUGAAGAGAUACGUCCGGACACGGCGACGGCUCACAUCCAAAUCUGAAGAUCUUAUUAAAAAGUUGAACGGCUAAUCGCUUUCUUCAAUAUAUCACGGGUGUCGGCACGAGUAUAACAAUACAUUAUGUAUACUAUAGUAUUUCUCUAGUAUUUCGUAUACGUUUCUUUUCAAGAAUACACAUGAAAAAAAAGGAACGGUAGGAGCUAAUAUGUAUUGUGAUGUAACGUUUUUCGUCUAUCACUUUGUCGCGGAUAAGCGAUUCUGGGUCCUCCUGGGUGAGGGCGGACAACAAGCAUGCGGGCGCUACCGUUGUGCGCCACCUUAAAUUUAUUUUUAUUUAUUUUUUCUUCUGUAUUUUUUUGCAUUAAUUUUCUGAGAAUCGGUAGCUGUGCGUUGAUUGUGUCGAAGCUGUCUCAUCCGGUUGCCAGCAGGGAAGAAGACCGCCGAAGAGGACUGUCACCGAGGAGGCUUCGGACUAUGCCCCAAUGGCGGGGGCGCGUAGAUCGUAUCGCUCUUUUUAACUUGCUACUUGCAUUUAUUAUUUACGUCUUUUUAGUUCCGCUCCUGUUUUAUAGAGAAAAGAUGCAGAGACAUCAGGAUGAGGUAGCUUCUCAAGAGGACAAUCAGCCGAGAAGACUACGGCGAACUCGGAGUCGAACCAAAGGAAUUACUUAAAGCAGGAAGAGUUUCGUGCGAGACGAGAAGAGUCCUGGCGAGAAGACUGCCUGGGCGAAAUUCGGAUUCCGCGCCAAGUCGCGAGAAGCUACGUCACUGCCACGGGCCUACGCGAUUCGCGCGAGUCGCACGACGCCGCUAUCGGCCAAUCAAGCGCCAGGAGACCUCGCUCCCGAAAAGCUGUGCAUCCCCCGCCGGGGCCUGCCGAUCACUUGCGUUGUGGCACGAGCCUGGUGCAAAUUGUGAGAGGACGCAAGAUCUAUUGAGGAUAAAGAACGAGUUAUCGAUAACGAAAGUGAGGCGAGUGGAGAUAGAGGAAGGAGCUGAGAGGAGAUAUCGAAGGGACAAGGAGGAAAUCGCCAGUGUGACAAGCGUAAAAAUUCUGCCGACAACGUGAUCUCGAGCGAAUAGUACGUGCCGAAUUUGAGCCAAAAGGCUGAGGCCCGUACAGGGAGCCGUGAGUAAUUAAUCUUUUAGUUGCCGCUUGCCGUUCGCUCGAAUCACACAGAUUUUUGUAUUCAGUUUGCGUAAAGCUUGUCGCCCUCUCACCACAGCGAAUUCACCGCGUCUCGUUAGUGUGAUUGUAUGUUAAUUCGCCAUCUUGUAUUCUACGCCGGUUGAGGCACAUUUCAUGUAGAGUAAAGAAAAUCAUUGACGUUGUAACGUACGUCUGGCGGAAAGCCGCGAUUAUUGCUAUAAACUAUGAUUGAUGAAUUUAUGAUAAUUCUCGCGACAAUCGCUUGUUCAUGUUUCGGGUAUUCUUUUGUGCUGCGUGACUCGAUCACACCCGAUCAUAAUGAGUUCAUAUUCGCACCAAGACGAAAUUAUUAUAAUUACGAUGAAUUGCGUACUUGAAUAGAUUCUUGUAAUUGUUUCCGUUACAAAUAUUAAAUAUAUGUUUGUCAUUUUCUUACUAAAAGGAA